RNAcentral lists this ribosomal RNA (245 nucleotides) under uncultured bacterium. RNAcentral describes it as "partial 16S ribosomal RNA". It matches the Rfam family "Bacterial small subunit ribosomal RNA", at positions 524 to 768 of the family's 1533-position model. The record is from RNAcentral.
GACAGAGGGUGCAAACGUUGCUCGGAAUUACUGGGCGUAAAGCGCGUGUAGGUGGUCUGGUAAGUCGGGUGUGAAAGCCCAGGGCUUAACCCUGGAAGUGCAUUCGAAACUGCCAGGCUAGAGUACUGAAGAGGAUCGCGGAAUUCCCGGUGUAGAGGUGAAAUUCGUAGAUAUCGGGAGGAACACCAGUGGCGAAGGCGGCGAUCUGGGCAGAUACUGACACUGAGACGCGAAAGCGUGGGAAG